UGCCAGCAGCCGCGGUAACACGGGGGGCGCAAGCGUUAUUCGGAUUUAUUGGGCGUAAAGGGUCCGUAGGGGGUCUGUUAAGUCUGGUGUGAAUGCCCACGGCUCAACCGUGGAACUGCAUUGGAAACUGGCAGACUAGAGCACAGUAGAGGAGAGUGGAAUUCCUGGUGUAGCGGUGGAAUGCGUAGAUAUCAGGAGGAACACCGAUGGCGAAGGCAGCUCUCUGGGCUGUUGCUGACCCUGAGGGACGAAAGCUAGGAUAGCGAACAGGAUUAGAUA
RNAcentral lists this ribosomal RNA (279 nucleotides) under uncultured bacterium. RNAcentral's name for it is "partial 16S ribosomal RNA". It matches the Rfam family "Bacterial small subunit ribosomal RNA", at positions 506 to 784 of the family's 1533-position model. The record is from RNAcentral.